Molecule: ribosomal RNA, 454 nt
Filed under: uncultured bacterium
Lineage: Bacteria
Description: bacterial SSU rRNA
Rfam family: Bacterial small subunit ribosomal RNA
Source: RNAcentral
UACGGAAGGCAGCAGUGGGGAAUACUGCACAAUGGGCGAAAGCCUGAUGCAGCUAUGCCGCGUGUAUGAAGAAGGCCUUAGGGUUGUAAAGUACUUUCAUCGGGGAGGAAAAACAAAACUAAUAAUUUUAUUUCUUGACGUUACCCGAAAAAGAAGCACCGGCUAACUCCGUGCCAGCAGCCGCGGUAAUACGGAGGGUGCUAGCGUUAAUCAGAAUUACUGGGCGUAAAGAGCACGUAGGUGGUUUUUUUAAGUCAGAUGUGAAAUCCCUGGGCUUAACCUAGGAACUGCAUUUUGAAACUGAAAUACUAGAGUAUCGUAGAGGGAGGUAGAAUUCUAGGUGUAGCGGUGAAAUGCGUAGAUAUCUGGAGGAAUACCUGUGGCGAAAGCGGCCUCCUAAACGAAUACUGACACUGAGGUGCGAAAGCGUGGGGAGCAAACAGGAUUAGAUACC